This 460-nucleotide ribosomal RNA is filed under the name uncultured bacterium. Its description in RNAcentral is "partial 16S ribosomal RNA". It matches the Rfam family "Bacterial small subunit ribosomal RNA", at positions 338 to 795 of the family's 1533-position model. The record is from RNAcentral.
CCUACGGGAGGCAGCAGUGAGGAAUAUUGGUCAAUGGACGAGAGUCUGAACCAGCCAAGUAGCGUGAAGGAUGACUGCCCUAUGGGUUGUAAACUUCUUUUAUAUGGGAAUAAAAUGUUCCACGUGUGGGAUUUUGUAUGUACCAUAUGAAUAAGGAUCGGCUAACUCCGUGCCAGCAGCCGCGGUAAUACGGAGGAUCCGAGCGUUAUCCGGAUUUAUUGGGUUUAAAGGGAGCGUAGGUGGAUUGUUAAGUCAGUUGUGAAAGUUUGCGGCUCAACCGUAAAAUUGCAGUUGAAUCUGGCAGUCUUGAGUACAGUAGAGGUGGGCGGAAUUCGUGGUGUAGCGGUGAAAUGCUUAGAUAUCACGAAGAACUCCGAUUGCGAAGGCAGUUCACUGGACUGCAACUGACACUGAGGCUCGAAAGUGUGGGUAUCAAACAGGAUUAGAUACCCGUGUAGUC